AGAUUGAACGCUGGCGGCAGGCCUAACACAUGCAAGUCGAGCGGUAGAGAGGUGCUUGCAUCUCUUGAGAGCGGCGGACGGGUGAGUAAUGCCUAGGAAUCUGCCUAGUGGUGGGGGAUAACGUUCGGAAACGGACGCUAAUACCGCAUACGUCCUACGGGAGAAAGCGGGGGACCUUCGGGCCUCGCGCCAUUAGAUGAGCCUAGGUCGGAUUAGCUAGUUGGUGAGG
RNAcentral lists this ribosomal RNA (229 nucleotides) under uncultured soil bacterium. Its description in RNAcentral is "partial 16S ribosomal RNA". It matches the Rfam family "Bacterial small subunit ribosomal RNA", at positions 26 to 257 of the family's 1533-position model. The record is from RNAcentral.